CAGCAGCCGCGGUAAUACGAAGGGGGCUAGCGUUGCUCGGAAUCACUGGGCGUAAAGGGUGCGUAGGCGGGUUUUUAAGUCAGAGGUGAAAUCCUGGAGCUCAACUCCAGAACUGCCUUUGAUACUGGGAAUCUUGAGUAUGGAAGAGGUGAGUGGAACUGCGAGUGUAGAGGUGAAAUUCGUAGAUAUUCGCAAGAACACCAGUGGCGAAGGCGGCUCACUGGUCCAUAACUGACGCUGAGGCACGAAAGCGUGGGGAGCAAACAGGAUUAGAUACCCCGGUAGUCCCUGUCUCUUAUAC
RNAcentral lists this ribosomal RNA (301 nucleotides) under uncultured bacterium. Its description in RNAcentral is "partial 16S ribosomal RNA". It matches the Rfam family "Bacterial small subunit ribosomal RNA", at positions 509 to 807 of the family's 1533-position model. The record is from RNAcentral.